ACGGCUCAGUAACACGUGGACAACCUACCCUAAGGAGGGGGAUAACCCCGGGAAACUGGGGAUAAUACCCCAUAGAUUAUGGAUGCUGGAAUGCUCUAUAGUUGAAAGGUCCGCCGCCUUAGGAUGGGUCUGCGGCCGAUUAGGUUGUUGUUGGGGUAACGGCCCAACAAGCCUGUAAUCGGUACGGGUUGUGGGAGCAAGAGCCCGGAGAUGGAUUCUGAGACACGAAUCCAGGCCCUACGGGGCGCAGCAGGCGCGAAAACUUUACAAUGCGGGAAACCGUGAUAAGGGGACUCCGAGUGCCCGUUAAAUCGGGCUGUCCACCAGUUUAAAUAACUGGUGAAGAAAGGGCCGGGCAAGACCGGUGCCAGCCGCCGCGGUAAUACCGGCGGCUCGAGUGGUGGCCACUAUUACUGGGCUUAAAGCGUUCGUAGCUGGUCUGUUAAGUCUCUGGGGAAAUCUACCGGCUUAACCGGUAGGCGUCUCAGGGAUACUGGCAGACUAGGGACCGGGAGAGGUGAGGGGUACUCCAGGGGUAGGAGUGAAAUCCUGUAAUCCUUGGGGGACCACCUGUGGCGAAGGCGCCUCACCAGAACGGCUCCGACAGUGAGGGACGAAAGCUGGGGGAGCAAACCGGAUUAGAUACCCGGGUAGUCCCAGCUGUAAACGAUGCGCGUUAGGUGUAUCGGUGACCACGAGUCACCGAGGUGCCGAAGAGAAAUCGUGAAACGUGCCGCCUGGGAAGUACGGUCGCAAGGCUGAAACUUAAAGGAAUUGGCGGGGGAGCAC
RNAcentral lists this ribosomal RNA (789 nucleotides) under uncultured archaeon. RNAcentral's name for it is "bacterial SSU rRNA". It matches the Rfam family "Archaeal small subunit ribosomal RNA", at positions 85 to 879 of the family's 1478-position model. The record is from RNAcentral.